CCUACGGGUGGCAGCAGUGAGGAAUAUUGGUCAAUGGACGAGAGUCUGAACCAGCCAAGCCGCGUGAAGGAUGACUGCCCUAUGGGUUGUAAACUUCUUUUAUACGGGAAUAAAGCUCAGUACGUAUACUCUUCUGAAUGUACCUUACGAAUAAGGAUCGGCUAACUCCGUGCCAGCAGCCGCGGUAAUCCGGAGGAUCCGAGCGUUAUCCGGAUUUAUUGGGUUUAAAGGGUGCGUAGGCGGGUUGUUAAGUCAGAUGUGAAAGUUUGGGGCUUAACCGGGGAAUUGCAGUUAAUACUGGCGUCCUAGAGAGGAGAAGAGGUAGGCGGAAUGCAUGGUGUAGCGGUGAAAUGCUUAGAUAUCACGAAGAACUCCGAUUGCGAAGGCAGCCUGCUGAGCUAUAACUGACGCUGAGGCACGAAAGUGUGGGUAUCAAACAGGAUUAGAUACCCGGGUAGUC
Molecule: ribosomal RNA, 460 nt
Filed under: uncultured bacterium
Lineage: Bacteria
Description: partial 16S ribosomal RNA
Rfam family: Bacterial small subunit ribosomal RNA
Source: RNAcentral